CCUACGGGUGGCUGCAGUGAGGAAUAUUGGUCAAUGGCCGGAAGGCUGAACCAGCCAAGUCGCGUGAGGGACGACUGCCCUAUGGGUUGUAAACCUCUUUUAUAAGGGAAGAAUAAAUGCUACGUGUAGCAUGAUGCCUGUACCUUAUGAAUAAGCAUCGGCUAACUCCGUGCCAGCAGCCGCGGUAAUACGGAGGAUGCGAGCGUUAUCCGGAUUUAUUGGGUUUAAAGGGUGCGUAGGCGGUUUUUUAAGUUGGUGGUUAAACGUCGGAGCUUAAACUUGAUUUGCCAUUAAUAAUGUACGACUCGAGUGCAGACGAGGGAGGCGGAAUAAGAUAAGUAGCGGUUAAAUGCUUAGAUAGAA
Molecule: ribosomal RNA, 363 nt
Filed under: uncultured bacterium
Lineage: Bacteria
Description: partial 16S ribosomal RNA
Rfam family: Bacterial small subunit ribosomal RNA
Source: RNAcentral